This is a non-coding RNA of Podarcis lilfordi (Lilford's wall lizard), 71 nucleotides long. NCBI's taxonomy places the organism in Eukaryota, Metazoa, Chordata, Lepidosauria, Squamata, Lacertidae. The record is from the annotation of a GenBank genome assembly.
GGGCCGUAGCCGAGUGGUAGAGCAGCUGUUUUGCAAGCAGAAGGUCCCAGUUUCAAUCUCUGGCAUCCCCA